Molecule: unclassified non-coding RNA, 259 nt
Filed under: Glomus sp.
Lineage: Eukaryota; Fungi; Glomeromycota; Glomeromycetes; Glomerales; Glomeraceae
Description: partial contains 5.8S ribosomal RNA and internal transcribed spacer 2
Rfam family: 5.8S ribosomal RNA (bases 1-71)
Source: RNAcentral
GUGAAUCAUCAAAUCUUUGAACGCAAAUUGCACUCUCUGGGAUUCCGGAAAGUAUGCCUGUUUGAGGGUCAGUUAAAUAAAAAUCGGUUUUGUUUCUGCUUUUCUUGGUGACGCGGCGGAAUUGAGUUGUCUUACCUUCGGUUAAGUGACUUAAAAUUUUGCAUGUUUUUCGAACGUAUUUAAAUUUCUUACGUACGUUUGAGAUAUCGAAUACUUUAUUAGUCUCGGUCAUCCUCAUGAUGCGCCCCUAUAAUUUUUC